This 443-nucleotide ribosomal RNA is filed under the name uncultured bacterium. RNAcentral describes it as "partial 16S ribosomal RNA". It matches the Rfam family "Bacterial small subunit ribosomal RNA", at positions 338 to 795 of the family's 1533-position model. The record is from RNAcentral.
CCUACGGGAGGCAGCAGUGGGGAAUAUUGGGCAAUGGGCGCAAGCCUGACCCAGCAACGCCGCGUGAAGGAAGAAGGCUUUCGGGUUGUAAACUUCUUUUCUCAGGGACGAAGCAAGUGACGGUACCUGAGUAAUAAGCCACGGCUAACUACGUGCCAGCAGCCGCGGUAAUACGUAGGUGGCAAGCGUUAUCCGGAUUUACUGGGUGGAAAGGGCGUGGAGGCGGGACUGCAAGUCAGAUGUGAAAACCACGGGCUCAACCUGGGGCCUGCGUUUGGAACUGUAGUUCUUGAGUAAUGGAGAGGCAGACGGAAUUCCUAGUGUAGCGGUGAAAUGCGUAGAUAGUAGGAGGAACACCAGUGGCGAAGGCGGUCUGCUGGACAGCAACUGACGCUGAGGCGCGAAAGCGUGGGGAGCAAACAGGAUUAGAUACCCCUGUAGUC